Molecule: ribosomal RNA, 498 nt
Filed under: uncultured bacterium
Lineage: Bacteria
Description: partial 16S ribosomal RNA
Rfam family: Bacterial small subunit ribosomal RNA
Source: RNAcentral
AUUGAACGCUGGCGGCAUGCCUUACACAUGCAAGUCGAACGGUAACAGGUCUUCGGAUGCUGACGAGUGGCGAACGGGUGAGUAAUACAUCGGAACGUGCCUAGUAGUGGGGGAUAACUACUCGAAAGAGUGGCUAAUACCGCAUGAGAUCUACGGAUGAAAGCAGGGGAUCGCAAGACCUUGUGCUACUAUAGCGGCCGAUGGCAGAUUAGGUAGUUGGUGGGAUAAAAGCUUACCAAGCCGAGGAUCUGUAGCUGGUCUGAGAGGACGAUCAGCCACACUGGGACUGAGACACGGCCCAGACUCCUACGGGAGGCAGCAGUGGGGAAUUUUGGACAAUGGGCGAAAGCCUGAUCCAGCAAUGCCGCGUGCAGGAUGAAGGCCUUCGGGUUGUAAACUGCUUUUGUACGGAACGAAAAGCCCCGGGUUAAUACCCUGGGGUCAUGACGGUACCGUAAGAAUAAGCACCGGCUAACUACGUGCCAGCCGCCGCGGUAA